GCGUCGGUAGUGUAAUGGAUAGCACGUGAGAUUUCGGUCCUUACGAUCGGGGUUCGAUUCCCCGCUGACGCA
The sequence is a transfer RNA, 72 nucleotides long. It matches the Rfam family "tRNA". From Rfam's summary of the family: Transfer RNA (tRNA) molecules are approximately 80 nucleotides in length. Their secondary structure includes four short double-helical elements and three loops (D, anti-codon, and T loops). The record is from Rfam.